AGACAUGCAAGUCGAACGGAAACACUGAUUAGUUUACUAAGAUGUGUUUUAGUGGCGGACGGGUUAGUAACACGUGAGCAACCUGCCUCGAAGUGGGGGAUAGCCUUCCGAAAGGGAGAUUAAUACCGCAUAUGGUCUUCGGACCAAAGGUGCCUUCGGGUAUCGCUUUGAGAUGGGCUCGCGGCCUAUCAGCUAGUUGGUGAGGUAAAGGCUCACCAAGGCAACGACGGGUAGCUGGUCUGAGAGGAUGAUCAGCAACACUGGAACUGAGACACGGUCCAGACACCUACGGGUGGCAGCAGUCGAGAAUCAUUCACAAUGGACGAAAGUCUGAUGGUGCAACGCCGCGUGGAGGAUGAAGGCCCUAGGGUCGUAAACUCCUGUCAUAAUAGAGUAAGGCAUAAGUGGAAUAAUACCCAUUUAUGUUUGAUAGUAUAUUAAGAGGAAGGGACGGCUAACUUCGUGCCAGCAGCCGCGGUAAUACGAAGGUCCCGAGCGUUAUUCGGAAUCACUGGGCGUAAAGAGUACGUAGGCGGUUUGGUAAGUCAGGUGUGAAAUCCCGAAGCUCAACUUCGGAACUGCAUCCGAUACUGCCAGACUAGAGUAAUGGAGGGGCAGGUGGAAUUCUUGGUGUAGCAGUGAAAUGCGUAGAUAUCAAGAGGAAGACCAAUGGCGAAGGCAGCCUGCUGGACAUUUACUGACGCUGAGGUACGAAGGCUAGGGUAGCGAAAGGGAUUAGAUACCCCUGUAGUCCUAGCAGUAAACGGUGCGCGCUUGGUGUAGGAGACUCGACCCCUUCUGUGCCGGAGCUAACGCGUUAAGCGCGCCGCCUGGGGAGUACGGUCGCAAGAC
Molecule: ribosomal RNA, 852 nt
Filed under: uncultured bacterium
Lineage: Bacteria
Description: bacterial SSU rRNA
Rfam family: Bacterial small subunit ribosomal RNA
Source: RNAcentral